Molecule: ribosomal RNA, 301 nt
Filed under: uncultured bacterium
Lineage: Bacteria
Description: partial 16S ribosomal RNA
Rfam family: Bacterial small subunit ribosomal RNA
Source: RNAcentral
CAGUAGCCACGGGAAUACGUAGGUGGCAAGCGUUGUCCGGAAUUAUUGGGCGUCAAGCGCGCGCAGGUGGUUUAAUAAGUCUGAUGUGAAAGCCCACGGCUCAACCGUGGAGGGUCAUUGGAAACUGUUAAACUUGAGUGCAGGAGAGAAAAGUGGAAUUCCUAGUGUAGCGGUGAAAUGCGUAGGGAUUAGGAGGAACACCAGUGGCGAAGGCGGCUUUUUGGCCUGUAACUGACACUGAGGCGCGAAAGCGUGGGGAGCAAACAGGAUUAGAUACCCCCGUAGUCCCUGUCUCUUAUAC